This 453-nucleotide ribosomal RNA is filed under the name uncultured Porphyromonadaceae bacterium. RNAcentral describes it as "partial 16S ribosomal RNA". It matches the Rfam family "Bacterial small subunit ribosomal RNA", at positions 341 to 792 of the family's 1533-position model. Lineage: Bacteria; Pseudomonadati; Bacteroidota; Bacteroidia; Bacteroidales; Porphyromonadaceae. The record is from RNAcentral.
ACGGAAGGCAGCAGUGAGGAAUAUUGGUCAAUGGGCGGAAGCCCGAACCAGCCAAGUCGCGUGAAGGAUGAAGGUAUUAUGUAUUGUAAACUUCUUUAGCAGCAGAGUAAUAAGGGGGUCGUGACCCCCGAUGCAAGUAUGCUGAAAAUAAGGAUCGGCUAACUCCGUGCCAGCAGCCGCGGUAAUACGGAGGAUCCGAGCGUUAUCCGGAUUUAUUGGGUUUAAAGGGUGCGCAGGCGGUUUUUUAAGUCAGUGGUUAAAUCGUGAGGCUCAACCUCAUCACGCCAUUGAUACUGGAAGACUUGAUUGCGGUUGAGGUUGGCGGAAUUCGUCGUGUAGCGGUGAAAUGCAUAGAUAUGACGAAGAACACCGAUUGCGUAGGCAGCUGACCAAGCCGUAAAUGACGCUCAUGCACGAAAGUGCGGGGAUCGAACAGGAUUAGAUACCCUGGUA